RNAcentral lists this non-coding RNA (20 nucleotides) under Rattus norvegicus (Norway rat). The record is from RNAcentral. Lineage: Eukaryota; Metazoa; Chordata; Mammalia; Rodentia; Muridae.
UAUGAGGUGGCCAACUAAGG